UACGUAGGUGGCAAGCGUUGUCCGGAUUUAUUGGGUUUAAAGGGUGCGUAGGCGGCCCUAUAAGUCAGUGGUGAAAUACUCUAGCUUAACUAGAGGGGUGCCAUUGAUACUGUAGGGCUUGAGUAAAGUUGAGGUUGGCGGAAUUGACGGUGUAGCGGUGAAAUGCUUAGGUAUCGUCAAGAACACCUAUUGCGAAGGCAGCUAACUAAGCUUUAACUGACGCUGAGGCACGAAAGUGUGGGGAUCAAACAGG
RNAcentral lists this ribosomal RNA (253 nucleotides) under uncultured bacterium. Its description in RNAcentral is "partial 16S ribosomal RNA". It matches the Rfam family "Bacterial small subunit ribosomal RNA", at positions 524 to 776 of the family's 1533-position model. The record is from RNAcentral.